This 3707-nucleotide long non-coding RNA is filed under the name Brassica napus (rape). RNAcentral's name for it is "long non-coding RNA (BNAP_LNC025973)". Lineage: Eukaryota; Viridiplantae; Streptophyta; Magnoliopsida; Brassicales; Brassicaceae. The record is from RNAcentral.
UAACAUCUCAUAAUGUUUCAGAACAAUAUCGGCUAAAAACCUGAAGACCGGUGAGGUCGAAGUUAUAUACAAUGCUAAGGAGAGUAUCUCAGGACUCAGACCUCCAACUGUGAAGAACCUGAAAGAGGUAAUGGAGAGCGAGUCUGCGAUGGUGUGGAGUGAAGUAAGUGAGAAGAUACUGAAUAAAGACUGGGAACGAGCAAGAGAAGCGAAGAAAGCUGUGGAGGAGAAACAGAGAGAGUCUCUGAAGCGGAGAGAGGCUUCUGGUGAGUCUUGGGUUCCCAAGCAUUUCUCAGUGGUUAGAAACGGUAAAGACUGGGACUGCUCACCGCUUCAGCCAACGGUUCCCCGAGCUCCACUUGUCAUCACAGAAGCACAAGAAGAAAACAUGAACUGAUAUCAAGAUUAAAGACUUUAAGCUUACUACUAUGUCAUGUAACAUAUACUUAUUGAUAUAGACUGAACCAAAGUGAAAAUCGCAAAAUAAAAUUCUUUUUAAUCAAAACUUUCUGCUCUAAUUGCGUAUAAGCGGAUUUCAGUUUCACCAAGAAACAUCAACUUCCAAGAAUCAUUUCAGCUUUUUUUCAAGAAAAUUUACAGUAUCUAAAAGAUCCAAGAAUAUAAUUAGGUCCAAGAAUCGGCUCAAGAAUCAUCUCUCAGGCAGCUGUGCUUGUGUAGUUAGGGAAGAGGUUGACCAAAGUGUCAAGAGCAUCAGGAUGAAACUUCCUUGCAAACAGAUAACAAGGUCGCGUGAUCCCAUUCCAUGUACAAGGCCAAUGCAGCUCAUCUCCAUGCUUCAAAAACCACAAGUAAAAGUGAGAAAGAAAGAGAUAACAGAAGGCAACGAGAAAGAAAGUUUCAAGAGCAUACCUCUCCCACACUUGUGACGUGUGUACUCAUUUCCUCAGACUGCACAAGCGCAAAAUCAAGAAAAGUUAGAAUAAGAAGCUAAUUGUGAUUAAUUUUCGAAGAGAUUUCGUUUCAAAACAUUACCGUGACAUUUUUUAUGAACUCUAAUGAUAUCUCAUUUGCUGUGUAAGUCUUUGGAUGCCACCUUCUUUCAGACCAAUCAACAUACGUUACUGACCAGUUCGAGAUCCCCAUGGGAUCAAGCAUCUGAAAGACGAAGAUUCAGCAAAUAAAGAAAAUGUUAGAGCAACAAGAAGGCUUUAAAGAUUGCAAAAGAUAGGGGUGUUCUUCCUCACACUGAAGAAUGUUGGCAAGUAAUGUUCAUCAGCAAUACAGUUCUUGUCUGCCUCUAUCCCUGGCUGAAAUUUUUAGUAAAUUUCUUGAUCAAAAUCAGACCUCAGGACGAAGAAACUGGAAAAUUUAUCAAAAGGUCUUACACCACAAUACUCGCGGAAUUUUGAGUAGUAGAGACCAUCAGCCAUCACUAUAAUCGCGUGUUGUCGCUUCAUUGUGAACCACUGAUCAGAAGAAAAGAAGAAAGUUACACUACAAAAGUAGCAACCAUACUAACUCAGACAUACUCUUAGAGAUUGAAGCUUUGUUUUUUUUACCUGAGCACCCUUUCUAAAAUCUUCCCUAGCAAUUUCAGGUAACAUGUGUUCCAUGUGUCUACCAGUACCAUGUUGUCCAGGAUCCACAAAACUUGAGAAACAUAGAAAAUUGAAGCUUGUGUCAUUAAUGGAUAACUCAAAACUUUUUUUCUUUUGAUUUAAGUGAUUAAUUUUACCUCUCAAUGAAGCUGAUGUUGGAGUAUAGCAAAUAUCUGUAGGUGUAGUCAAAAGUAUGCAACGGUAUACAACUGCACAGAAGAAUAAAGUUAAUGUGAUUUUGAUUUGUGCAAGAAAACCUUGAUAGGGACACUUGAGCAAGAUUGCAUCAUUACAUCAAGGUUAUUGAAUUCAAAGUAAGUUUUUAUUUUGGAUUUAUUUUAUUAAAAAUUUCAGUAUUUAAUUAGAUUUUAUUAAUUCGGUUUAAUUCGGUAUUUUAGAGUAUGGUGUUACACUAUUUAUAGUUAUAUUUGACUACAUAUUAUUAUAUUUUUCAAAAAUAUUUUAUUUUAAUAUGUUUCAAAUAGUAUAUUUUAUUAAUUUUGAAAGUUUAGUGAUUAUAGUUAAUUAUUAUAAUUUUAAAGACUAAAAUAUAAAUUUUUAAUUUUUCUAAAAUAAAUUUGAAGAUGGCUGUUGGAAAAUUACUCCCUCAUCCCCUUAUUUUAAGGGUAGAUCUCAAUAAAAAUGAGGGUGCUUGCGGGAGAUGCCCUUAUGCACUUUUGGAUUUUUACUUUUGAAAUAUUAAUUUCCAAAUUGUCGUUAUAUAUAACAGGUAAACAUUUAUAUUUCAUACCAUAUCACGUCAUUUACCAAUAAUUUGUUCAAAAUUGUGAUUACGAUUUGUUUUCCUUUAAAAUUUAUUAAUCAUAUUCUUUGAACGUAAAGCUGCCACCUCAGCUGAACCAACCAAGAUCACAGCUUCAAUGUUACGGGGAGAUGAUCUACAGCUUUUGCGGUCAGGAUCUCAUAGGAGAAUGCAGCCGUCGCGAUCUUCCCAUCGAACGGCUCAAAUCGGUCGUGGCGUGGAACAUCUCCACACUCCGUCCGAUAGUCUUUGGCAUGUCACCGUACAACCCCGUUCUUGGCGAGACUCACCACGUCUCCCACGGUCACAUCAACGUCCUCACCGAACAAGUAUAACCUUUAUUUAUUGCAAUCGUAACACAUAUUGAUACCAUGUCACGUCAAAUAUUUUGUGGUUGUUAACUUGUUAUGUUUCAGGUAUCGCAUCAUCCUCCGGUGUCGGCACUUCAUGCGACUCACGAGAAUGAAAAUAUUGACGUGACAUGGUGUCAAUAUUUCACUCCUAAGUUCCGUGGUAUGUUUCGUUCUUACAUCCCCAGUAUCUCAAAACAACCAUUUUUUUUACAAUCAAACAACGGCUAUUUCACUACCAAACCCAAAACAGAACAACCAACGAACCCAAAAUCCCUAUAAAACGUUAUAACAGUAACUAAGAAAUCUGAAAACAACCGUCAACACUAUGAUAUAUAUUUUCUAAAACGGAAGCAUCACGUUUUGGCUUUGAAAUCUAACUCUAGAUCUAAUUUGUGCGUGUACUCAUGGUUAACAAGGUGCUUACGUAGACGUUGAGGUAAAGGGCAAAAGGACAAUGAAGCUUCUGAAUAGGAAAGAGACUUACGAGAUGGACCAACCAAGGCUUGUUGUGAGAUUCUUACCUGCUCCUGGAGCUCACUGGACCGGGAAAAUCAAGAUAAAGUGUCCAGAGACUGAUCUCGAAGCCGAACUACACUUGAUAUCUGAUUCAUUCAUCGAAAGAUUCAAAGGCAACAACAAUAGAUCAAUCAAAGGAAAGAUCUCUCAGACUUCCUCCGGAGAUAAGCUCUAUGACAUCUCUGGCCAUUGGGACAGGUAAGUAGUAUAUGAAUCAAAGAGUCAUUACAGCUCUCUAAGAACAUCAUUAACAUCUCAUAAUGUUUCAGAACAAUAUCGGCUAAAAACCUGAAGACCGGUGAGGUCGAAGUUAUAUACAAUGCUAAGGAGAGUAUCUCAGGACUCAGACCUCCAACUGUGAAGAACCUGAAAGAGGUAAUGGAGAGCGAGUCUGCGAUGGUGUGGAGUGAAGUAAGUGAGAAGAUACUGAAUAAAGACUGGGAACGAGCAAGAGAAGCGAAGAAAGCUGUGGAGGAGAAACAGAGAGAGUCUCUGAAGCGGAGAGAGGCUUCUGGU